UAUCUUUGCGCCUCGGUUGCUGAAAGGUCAGGACCAUACAUAAAAAUUAUUUAAAUAAAUAUUCGAAUG
This 69-nucleotide non-coding RNA is filed under the name unclassified sequences. The record is from Rfam.